Non-coding RNA from Buceros rhinoceros silvestris, 46 nucleotides. NCBI's taxonomy places the organism in Eukaryota, Metazoa, Chordata, Aves, Bucerotiformes, Bucerotidae. The record is from Rfam.
ACCAAGGCACUUUUUAGUGCCACCCUUAAAUGCAUAACACUGUCCU